This 501-nucleotide ribosomal RNA is filed under the name uncultured bacterium. RNAcentral's name for it is "partial 16S ribosomal RNA". It matches the Rfam family "Bacterial small subunit ribosomal RNA", at positions 29 to 523 of the family's 1533-position model. The record is from RNAcentral.
AUUGAACGCUGGCGGCAUGCCUUACACAUGCAAGUCGAACGGCAGCACGGGUGCUUGCACCUGGUGGCGAGUGGCGAACGGGUGAGUAAUACAUCGGAACGUACCUUAUCGUGGGGGAUAACGCAGCGAAAGCUGUGCUAAUACCGCAUACGCCCUGAGGGGGAAAGCGGGGGAUCGAAAGACCUCGCGCGAUUAGAGCGGCCGAUGCCUGAUUAGCUUGUUGGUGGGGUAAAAGCCCACCAAGGCGACGAUCAGUAGCUGGUCUGAGAGGACGAUCAGCCAAACUGGGACUAAGACACGGCCCAGACUCCUACGGGAGGCAGCAGUGGGGAAUUUUGGACAAUGGGGGAAACCCUGAUCCAGCAAUGCCGCGUGAGUGAAGAAGGCCUUCGGGUUGUAAAGCUCUUUUGUCAGGGAAGGAACACCGGCUCUAACACAGUCCGGGAAUGACGGUACCUGAAGAAUAAGCACCGGCUAACUACGUGCCAGCCGCCGCCGUAA